GUGUUCUCCUUAAAACUGAUAUGGCGUCGUGUCUCGAAUGAGCAAUCUCUUUGGAUAGAAUGGACAGUACAUGUCAUCUUGUUAAGCUAGAAGGCUGAGUUCUUAAUCACCUAUGGCUUUAAUUGGGUCUAACCCGAAUAUGACACCCGACCCCAACGUGUACUAUCUACACGAUAAUGGAGUCCAAUUUUGAUAGAGGCCGAACUUGAUCUCAUUUCACCAUUUUCCAACAUGAUAGAAAAACAAAAAAAGUGAAAUAAGAUAUAUCGUCAUUUGUUUAGUUGUUACAAUUAUAUGGUCUCCUUUGUAAAGUACCAAAGGACAGACUGAUCUUUAAAUUCUAUAUAAAGUAAACAUUGAAAAAGGGCCCACAUUUCUCACCCCACCGACGAUUUUUAUUUCUCUUUUUGGACCACCAUCUUUUAUUACACGUACAAAUCUUUUGUCCUUUUGUCAAUCAAUCAAAGAGUGUUGGGUUGUUGAAGAAAAACUAAUAAAAGACUUUGUUUUGUUUCUUCCUUUAAAAAGAGAAAGACUUGUUUCACUGCUCUGACGGUCUAGGAAACUUCCAUUUUUUUUGGACCUUAGCUUCGUAUACCCCGUACCCUCCUAAACUCAAGCUUAUUACCCCAACACUAUUCAUCUCACCUCUUUAUUGUUGCACUUCCUAAAUUAGCAUUUGUCCAUUUAUUCCUCAAUUAAAAACCAACCACAAUUCAACUACCUACAUGGCCCACAUCCUAGCCUUAACCAAUCAAAAUUCUUUGGUCCACAUGUUCUUCUUCUUCCUCGUACUCUCUCCUCCUCU
RNAcentral lists this long non-coding RNA (808 nucleotides) under Brassica napus (rape). RNAcentral's name for it is "long non-coding RNA (BNAP_LNC016112)". The record is from RNAcentral. Lineage: Eukaryota; Viridiplantae; Streptophyta; Magnoliopsida; Brassicales; Brassicaceae.